Molecule: long non-coding RNA, 952 nt
Filed under: Ficedula albicollis (Collared flycatcher)
Lineage: Eukaryota; Metazoa; Chordata; Aves; Passeriformes; Muscicapidae
Description: lncRNA (ENSFALG00000025437.1)
Source: RNAcentral
ACAAGGAGGUUUGGGGUGUGGGAAAUUUGAUUUCAAGGGGAGAUACAAGGAGAAAAGUCCAUGGAGGAUUUCUGGGAAUAAAAGACACUAGGAUUGGUUUGGGAAUUCUCUGUCGUAUUAAUGGUUCAGUCUGAAGGAUAACAUCCAUGUGCUGUUUUUCCAGCCUUCCUGGAUCUGUUUUUGGUUGUUUUUGCCAUAUUGAGGAGCCAUAUCCCAUAAAUCAGCCCUUUCCAUGGGUCUGGAUUCACCAUUCCAGACUAACAUGAGCUCCUGGCCUUUGUCUUCCAGUGUUUCACUUUCCCAAGUGCAGCCAGGGAUUCAUAACUUAUUUGUGAGGGAAAAGGAAAUUUGGGAAUACACAGCUCUGUAAUUCCUCAGUUUUAAAGGAACUGCUCAGAUGGACAGACCAGGAUAAAUAUUUCCCUGCAGAAUUAAAAAUAAACCUUUCCAGUUUGGAGAAAAUAAAAGAUUUUAUGAUGUUCCUUCCUUUCCAGGGAAAACCUGGUUUGCCAGGCCCUGUGGGGCUCCAUGGGGUUCCUGGACUGCCUGGACCACAAGGAGAAAAGGGAAUGGCAGGAAUUGGCAUUCCUGGCACUGCUGGCAUGAAGGGGGAGGAAGGAGAGCAGGUGGGCUGAGAUUUGCAUUAAAAUCCUCUCAGAGUGUUCAGCGUCUCCAAAGUCUCCUCCAAUAUUUAGGAUUUCCUUGGGAUCCCGUGGUUCCACAUGGAGAGGGUGAGAGAAGGGAAGAUUUAGGGUUUAAAAUCAGAGAUUUCACUGUUUCCUCUGUUGUUUUCAGGGAAUGAUGGGACCUCCAGGAGCACCAGGACCAAAGGUGGGUGCUGAAAGCCUGAACCCCAGUUGCUGGGCCUGGAAUUCAGGUUCCAAGGAAAUUUUCUGUCCCUAACCAGCAUCAUAAUGAAUCAUCAUAGUAAUUUCUGUGGGAAUUAUUGGAU